This 26-nucleotide unclassified non-coding RNA is filed under the name Mus musculus (house mouse). RNAcentral's name for it is "oocyte_clustered_small_RNA8464". The record is from RNAcentral. Lineage: Eukaryota; Metazoa; Chordata; Mammalia; Rodentia; Muridae.
UAUAAUCAAGUGACAUGAUUCUCCCA